CCCGCUGAACUUAAGCAUAUCAGUAAGCGGAGGAAAAGAAACUAACAAGGAUUCCCCUAGUAACGGCGAGUGAAGCGGGAAAAGCUCAAAUUUAAAAUCUGGCAUCCUCUGGGUGUCCGAGUUGUAGUCUAGAGAGGCGCUUUCUGUGCUGGACCGUGUAAAAGUCUCUUGGAAUAGAGCAUCAUAGAGGGUGAGAAUCCCGUCUUUGACACGGACUGCCAGUGCUAUGUGAUGCGCUCUUCAAAGAGUCGAGUUGUUUGGGAAUGCAGCUCAAAAUGGGUGGUAAAUUCCAUCUAAAGCUAAAUAUUGGCGAGAGACCGAUAGCGAACAAGUACCGUGAGGGAAAGAUGAAAAGCACUUUGGAAAGAGAGUUAAACAGUACGUGAAAUUGUUGAAAGGGAAGCGCUUGAAGUCAGUCGCGUUUGCCGGAACUCAGCCUUGCCCCUAGCUUGGCGCACUUUCCGGUUGACGGGCCAGCAUGGAUUUUGACCAUUGGAAAAGGGCCCAUGGGAAGGUGGCACCCUCUGGGUGUGUUAUAGCCCUGGGUCGUAUACUCUGGUUGGGAUCGAGGAACUCGGCACCAUCGUGCUUAGGAUGCUGGCGUAAUGGCUUUAAACGACCCGUCUUGAAACACGG
RNAcentral lists this ribosomal RNA (636 nucleotides) under uncultured fungus. RNAcentral's name for it is "eukaryotic LSU rRNA". It matches the Rfam family "Eukaryotic large subunit ribosomal RNA", at positions 24 to 664 of the family's 3401-position model. Lineage: Eukaryota; Fungi. The record is from RNAcentral.